RNAcentral lists this long non-coding RNA (768 nucleotides) under Equus caballus (horse). RNAcentral describes it as "lncRNA (ENSECAG00000029009.3)". The record is from RNAcentral. Lineage: Eukaryota; Metazoa; Chordata; Mammalia; Perissodactyla; Equidae.
CUGCUAGCAGACUCUCUCCUGGCUUUGAUGAAGCAAGCUGCCAUGUUGGAGAGGCCUACAUGACAAGGAACUGAAGGUUGCCUCCAGCCAACUCCAGCCAACAGCCAUCCAGGAAUUGAGGCUCUCAGUCCAACAGGCCUUGAGGAACUGCAUCCAGCCAGCAACUGUAGAAGUGAGCAAAGAAGUGUGUAUUUCCCCAGUCAAGCCUUCAGCUGAGACCCCAGCCCCAGCUGACACCUUAAUUGCAGCCUUGUGAGAGACCUUGGAGCAGAGAACCCAGAUUCUUCGGCGGGACCCACCCAGUUCCUGGACCCUGCCCUGGCCACUCCAGUGUCCACAAUCGCAAAACCCAUCCAUACACACACCUGCACUGACUGCUCACCUGUGAGAUACUCAGGAAUCAGCAACGUUUUCUAAAUGAAGAUUAGCCCUGAGCUAACUGCUGCCAAUCCUCCUCUUUUUGCUGAGGAAGACUGGGCUGAGCUAAUAUCCAUGCCCAUCUUCCUCUACUUUAUAUGUGGGACACCUACCACAGCAUGGCUUUUGCCAAGCGGUGCCAUGUCCGCACCCGGGAUCCCAGCCGGCGUACCUCAGGCUUCCGAAGUGGACGUGCGCACUUAACCGCUGCACCACCAGGCCGGCCCCAGAAAAGAUGUUCUAAAUCCAAACCUUUCAUUAAUCAAGAUUACCAUCAGCAUAUGUUAUUCAAAAACUAACUUGGGUCUUAUUUGUCGACACUCAUCAAAAUGGAAGGUGAGUUAUUGAAUA